GAAGCCAGCAACUCUCCAGAUGGUGGCCACUCCAUCAGCCUGGGUUCUGGAAUGAGGACAACUCAGACGACAGUCCCAAACCAACUCAAGGGCUCUUCGUUGCCAUAUGGCGUCUCUGGGGGUUUAACACUAGCCACCCCUUAUACCCCACAUAAUGGGAGCUGCUCUCUGCUUUAUACUGCCCGUCGCCCGCUGGAGUUGGAGCCUAAUUUGUGUGGCCAGAUGAGGAAAUCAAGGCACAGAGAGGCAGAGGAACUCCCCCACAGUCACACAGCUGAGGUGGCAGAACCAGAACUGAGAGGCUGGCUCCUGAGUCUAUGCUCUUAACCACUUGCCAUUUGACCCUCUUUGUGCUGGUCACAAAACGAUGCCCAGAACCACAUGGAGGAGUGUUUUGCCUUUAACCAUCUUCUGUCCUGUUGACCACCCUUGUUCAACCUGUUUCCCACUCCCCGAAGGGUAUUUAAUGGCUAAAUGAAUCCCAAUUCAAUAUUAACUAGAAGAGGGGCACCUGAGCCUUCUCCCCUGGAACCUUCCCUUUCUGGUCAGAGUCCCAGUGUUUGUCACAGCAUCUGUGUUUGCAGAAGGUUCAUGGGUGCAGACUCCCCAGCAGGCAGGAUGGGAGGGCACAGCCUCUGGUCUGGGGAAAUUUAUGUCUAAAGGGAGCCGAGGCGGAUGAACUAUUCCGUUUGCUCCUUUUGCUCUCUAUCAAGCACAGUCAGCUAGUGUUUUUUAAACUGUGAGUCGCCACACAUUAGUGAAUCAUGACAACCAUUUAGUGCAUCUCAAAUCACAUUUUAUUUAUAUGAAACUAAUUAAAAUUUAAAAUAUCGUGUGCAUUUUAUGUAGCAUGGUUAAGAAUUGUUUUAGGAAAUUUUGUUUUAGUUGUGUGCACCUGCAUGUGUGUGUGCACACGCACCCUUGGCUACGAUAUAAAAUAUAUUUCUUACUGUGAGUCCAGUCAAAAACGUUAAAGAGCCACAUAGCUAAAUGUUUUUCUCCUCUGCUUUCACAAUACUUGUUUACAGGAGCUUUACAACCCAUGGUUUUUUUUUUUUGCUCGAGUUAAUCUGAAAGUGAGUUUCUAUCAGCCAGUCUACACUGGCCAUGAUGGAACAGAGGAGGGGUGAGGGGUGCUAAGACAGCACACGGAGGGAAGCUGUUGGCCACGGCGCCGGGGUUGCACUCCUCGGCCAUCAAAUGCACCACCCAGAUGAUGACCCAGCGCCUCACCUGCUUAACUGAAGUCACCUGUCCUUCAUUAAAACCUUGAGCCCUGUGAGCAAGUUAAAUUGUUUGAAUUAACACAGCUUGUUGGAGCCAAACUUAAGCUAUAUGUUCAUAGGGCAUAUUUGUCAUUAAAA
Long non-coding RNA from Physeter macrocephalus (sperm whale), 1364 nucleotides. RefSeq lists it as uncharacterized. The transcript has 3 exons. Lineage: Eukaryota; Metazoa; Chordata; Mammalia; Artiodactyla; Physeteridae. The record is from RefSeq and is a predicted model, not a curated record.